Ruditapes philippinarum (Manila clam) is the source of this 326-nucleotide long non-coding RNA. RefSeq lists it as uncharacterized. The transcript has 3 exons. The record is from RefSeq and is a predicted model, not a curated record. NCBI's taxonomy places the organism in Eukaryota, Metazoa, Mollusca, Bivalvia, Venerida, Veneridae.
AUCUGGAAAACACAGUAAACAGUAAGAACUUUGGGCUUACCAGUGUUCUUGACAUCGCUUGUCAGAAGUGCGGCAAAGUCAAACGUGUGCACACUGGUCGUAAGCAUGGGAAAGUCUACGACAUGAACACAAAGCUUGCAAUUGCUAUUACACAUUCUGGAGUUGGUGUUAGACAGAUAUACAGUAUUUUAUCAGCAUUAAACAUUCCACCUGUCAACCAUUCCUUGCUUGUUAGGAGACAGAAUGAAGCUGGACAGGCAUUAGAGGAUGUUGCCAAAGCCAGUACUGAGAAGUAUUUGCAACAGGAAGUUAACUUGAAUUGAGAG